Molecule: ribosomal RNA, 250 nt
Filed under: uncultured bacterium
Lineage: Bacteria
Description: partial 16S ribosomal RNA
Rfam family: Bacterial small subunit ribosomal RNA
Source: RNAcentral
UACAGAGGGUGCAAGCGUUAAUCGGAGUUACUGGGCGUAAAGGGCGCGUAGGUUGUUAAAUAAGUUUCAUGUGAAAGCCCCGGGCUUAACCUGGGAACUGCAUGGGAAACUGUUUGACUAGAGUAUGGUAGAGGUAAGUGGAAUUUCCGGUGUAGCGGUGAAAUGCGUAGAUAUCGGAAGGAACACCAGUGGCGAAGGCGACUUACUGGGCCAAUACUGACACUGAGGCGCGAAAGCGUGGGUAGCGAAC